Molecule: long non-coding RNA, 4156 nt
Filed under: Mus musculus (house mouse)
Lineage: Eukaryota; Metazoa; Chordata; Mammalia; Rodentia; Muridae
Description: long non-coding RNA chr4:122838846-122843002
Source: RNAcentral
GCUGCCCUCAAGAAGCUCAAAGAGUAGGAUCCCGGUCCUCAGCCAGUUGAGGUUCAUAGCCAGACCCUGUCUCAAAACAAAAGAAGUAGAGGUUCUGCUUUUGGACUUAGUAACUAAAGGGUGUAUUGUUAUUGUUUUGGUGUAUUGCUAAGUUUAAUUUUUGGGUCUUUUUUAUUAAAGUUUUUUGUUGUUUUUAUUGUUGGGUGGUUUUUGUUUUGUUUUUUGUUUUUCUUUUUUUUGUUUUCCAAACAGGGUUUCUCUGUAUAGCCCUGGCUGUCCUGGAACUCACUUUGUAGACCAGGCUGGCCUCGAACUCAGAAAUCCGCCUGCCUCUGCCCCCCAAGUGCUGGGAUUAAAGGUGUGUGUCACCACUGCCCAGCUAAAGUAUUUUUUUAUUAGUGUGUGUGUGUGUGUGUGUGUGUGUGUGUGUUGUAACCCUUGCACCAUUACAGACCUAGUUUUUGGCUGAGACCAGGUCUCAUUUGGUACAGGCUAGCUCAGAAUUUAUAUUUAUUGCCUAGACAAGAAUUAUUUUGAACUUUGAUCUUAUCCCUUCCCCCACAGUCCCCAAAGAGCUAGAAUUAUAGGCAUGUGGAAAUAUGCAGGGAUCGUUUGAUUGUUUUGUUUUGUUUGAGACAAUAUCUUUUGUAGGCCAGGGUAUCAUUGAACUGUGUAGCCAAGGCCUCUUUUGGUCCUUACUCAUUACAACAUGGUGGAUAUUAAGAAAGAAAUAGAAGCUUCUCUAAGGCAGAGUGUUUUCUCCUUAACCUUCCCAUCCAGGUGAAAUGCUGUGAUUCAAGUACAAAGUGGGAUACCAUAUCAGCCCGCAUUUCUACUCAGUGGUCCAUUUGCUUCCUAUUUUUAGUUCUGGUUGUUUCCGGAAAAGGAAACAAUUCUAGGGCUAGGCUGAGGCUCUGAGCUCUGAGGCUCUCAUUCCCUAGUUUAUACAAGUUGGAAGUCAACCAUUUCCCAAAGCUCACAGUAACUGAUUACAUUUUGUGCCUCGGGCAUUUCUUGGACCUUAAUCCUAGUCCUGAUGUUACAGAUGUGUGGCACUAGACCUUCAUCCUGGUCCCUGACAUUGCAGAUGUGUGUGGCACUAUGCCUGCCUUCUCUUUUUUUCUUUCUAUUUCUUUCUUAUGCUUUAAGACAGGGAUUCAUGCAGCUCAGACCAGCCUCAAACUUCACUAAGAAACCGAGGAUGACCUUGAACAAUUCUCUUCCCUCUGCCUUCAAAGUGCUGGGACCACAUCUGUCCACCCUGUCUAGUUUAUGCAGUCCUGGGUUCCUACCCAGGGCCUGGUACACGUUGGGCAAACACUCCCUCAGCAGGGCUACUUCUCCAGCCCCACGUGGCCUUCUGAAGCUUGUUAGCACCAGCUAGACAGAGCUUAAGCUUGUGGGUUUUUGUCUGUUACUAUUGAGGUGAAACUCAUGUAACAUCAGGUUCACAGUUUUCAGUGCACAAUUCAGUGGCAUUGAGCCUGCUCACAAGCUGAGGCUUCCUCGUGAUUUCAGAACUUGUCAGCACCCAGGAAACCCACCAUAUGGGUUAAGUCAUUGUUUCCUUCCCCCUCCUCUCACUCUUGAUAACCUCCAGCCUCUUUCCUAUGCUUGUAGGGUGUCUUACUCUGGACAUAACAGGUAAAAGGUAUUGGGUAAUUAUUCUUUUGUGCAGGGUUAUUUUAAGAUACAUGCUUUGAGGUUCAUCCAAGUUGUAGCAUGUGUCAGCACUUCCUUUCUAUUUAUAAGUGGAUAGUAUUCCAUUGUAUGAAUAUACCACAGAUUAUUUAUCCAGUAAUGGGCAUUUGGCUUAUUUCUGCCUUUUAGCUAUUACCAGUAAUACCACUUUAGACAUUUGGGUAAGGUUUUACUGUAUGUCUUCAUUUUUCUUAGUUAUCUAGUAUGAGUAGAGUUGCUGGGUCAUUUGAUAAUUUCAUGCUUAAUUGUUUGUUUGUUUGUUUGUUUGUUUGUUUUUUUAAGAUAGAGUUUCUUCAUGUAUCCCUAGUUGUCUUGGAACUCACUCUGUAAACCAGGCUGGACUUGCCAAAGAAUUCACAGAAAUCUGCCCGCCCCUGCAUCCCAAGUGCUGGGAUUAAAGGCAUGCACCACCACUACCCCGUGCUUAAUUUUUUUUAAGUCAUUGCAAUACUUUUCCACAGAGAUUACAUUGGUAUAGUUCCAUUAAGAGGAUACCAGCAUACCUCAUUCCCCAUGUCCUUGCCAUCACUUAUCUACUAAUUUUUUAAAUGUUAUUUUUUUCCAGAUAUGGUGAUACACAACCUUUAAUCUCAGCACUGAGGAGACAGAGGUAGACAGGUAUCUCUGAGUUUGAGACCAACCUGAUCUAUAUGGAGAGUUCUAGUCCAGCUAGGAUUAUGUAGCAAUACCCUACCUAAACAACAAUGUUAAGUUGUUUUUAAGCAGUCUAGGUGGGUAUGGAUUAACAGUUCAUCGUUUUAGCUUGCAUUUUGUCAACAGUGAUUCUGUUGACCAUUUUCUAUCUUAGGCAAGUAUCUUUGCAUCUUUUCUCAAUUUAUUUUUUAAGAUUAAGGAAAAUUGGGGAGUGUGUGUGUGUGUGUGUGUGUGUGAGAGAGAGAGAGAGAGAGAGAGAGAGAGAGAGAGAGAAAGAUUGAUUAGAAGAGGGUAUCAUUGGAUCCCUGGUGCUGUAGUUAUAGGUGGUUGUGAGGCACCCAACAUGGGUCUGAAACUGAAUUCAGAAGCUCUGGAAGUGCUCUGAACUGCAGACCCUUCUCUCUAGCCUCUUCAUUUCUUUUAUUUUAAAAUUAUUUAUUUUUAUUUUUGUGUAUAUGUGUGUGCCUAUGUGAGUGUAUGUCAAGUACACAUAGAUGCCCUAGGAAGCCAGAUGAUGGUGACAGCAUCAGAUUUCCUGGAGCUGGAGUGCAUGUACUUGUGAGCCAUCCAACAUGAGUGUUGGGAAUCAAACUUGAGUCCUGUUCAAGAGCAAUCUCUUUGUCAUUGUUCUGUUGCUAUGAAGAGACACCAGGGCAACUCUUAGUAAAUAGGGCACUUCAUUGAGGGCUUGUUUACAGUUUCAAAGAUUGAGUCAUCAUGGUGGGGAGCUUGGUGACACUCAUGGUGCUGGAACAGUAGCUGAGGGCUGCAUCCUGAUCCAGAGACAGACAGAUAGACAGGCAGACAGCACCUGGCCUGAGCUUUUAAAACUUUAGAGACCAACUCCAAUGACACACUUCCUCCAACAAGGCCAAACCUCCUAAUCCUUCUAAUCCUUUCAAAGAGCUUCAUUCCCUGACUAAGCAUUCAAAUAUAUGAGCCUAUGGGGGACUUUCUUAUUCAACCCACCACCAGCAGCCAGCUCUCCAACACUACUCCAUUUCAUAAUUAUAUUAUUUGCCUUGUUGAGUUGUAAGAAUUACUUGUGUAUCUGGACACUGAAUUGAGGUACAUGUUUCACAGAUAAUUUUCUCUCCUUCUGGAGUCUCGACUUUUGGUUUCCGGCUUCUUACAUUUGAGUCAGAACCCCAUAUGGGAUUAUGUUACUAGAUAUGGGUAUCUAGAAAGACAUGGCAACGGUGUUCUGAAUGCUCAAUGAGCAAAAAUGUAUUCAAAGUCAAGAGUGAAGUGAACUGCAUUGUUUCUGUCAGUGUGUACAUCUCCCACUCCCUUGGUUCUGAACACAGAACACUGUGUACUGUGCACGCUGCCCUUCAUGAACACCAACAAAUGCUGCCUCCAACAGCCUGCUCAGUCUCCAGCCUGCUGGGCGUUGUGAACCCCAGUGCUCUUAUUAUAUAUACAAUGUCUUAUGCUUUUCUAGUGGUUUUAUUGCAAGAAACAAGGACUUAAUAUUUUUAUCAGCAUGUAAGUACCAAAUUAGUUUCUCUAUCAUAUUGUGCCCCAGUGAUUACUUGUAAAGUUGCCAUUUGAGAGGGCUGGAGACAAAGCAUAGUGGUUAAGAGAACCUCUGACCUUCAGAGGACUUUAAUUUUGUUUCCAGCACUUACAUGAUAGCUCACAGUUGCCUGAAACUCUGCUUUCAAGGGCAGACACCCUCUUCUGUACUCCAGAGGCACCAGGCAUGCAUAUGGUGCACAUAUACAUACAUGCAAGCAAACGUUCAUACAUAUCAAUUAAAAGAAAUACAAAUUUCAGAGUUGCUAACUUGAGUUUCGUC